RNAcentral lists this ribosomal RNA (565 nucleotides) under uncultured Blastobotrys. RNAcentral's name for it is "eukaryotic LSU rRNA". The stretch from base 183 to 334 matches the Rfam family "5.8S ribosomal RNA". Lineage: Eukaryota; Fungi; Ascomycota; Dipodascomycetes; Dipodascales; Trichomonascaceae. The record is from RNAcentral.
UCCGUAGGUGAACCUGCGGAAGGAUCAUUAACGAAAUAUUUCCGACAUUCGUGUCGGAAUAAAUCAUCUUACACCUGUGAAAAUACGAAUCUUUGCUUUGGCUUGGGUGAAAACUCGAGCCAAAAGAUCAAAACCUUACAAUUUUAACCUGAGUCUGAGAAAGAAAAGAAUAAAUUAUUCAAAACUUUCAGCAACGGAUCUCUUGGUUCUCGCAUCGAUGAAGAACGCAGCGAAAUGCGAUACGUAAUGUGAAUUGCAGAAUUGUGAAUCAUCGAAUCUUUGAACGCACAUUGCGCCUUUUGGUAUUCCAAAAGGCAUACCUGUUUGAGAGUCAUUUCAUUCUCAAAAACCUAGUUUUUGGUAUUGGUUCUUAUCUUUCGCGAGAAAGUGAACUGAAAUGAAAUGGCAAAGCCUCGAUUUUUUGUCAAAAGUGUCUUAGGUUUUACCAACUACACUUGCGUAACGAAAUUUCGAAUUCAAGCUUGGCCUUACAACAGCCUUUUUAAGUUGACCUCAAAUCAGGUAGGGAUACCCGCUGAACUUAAGCAUAUCAAUAAGCGGAGGA